RNAcentral lists this transfer RNA (72 nucleotides) under Camelus ferus (Wild Bactrian camel). It matches the Rfam family "tRNA". Rfam says of the family: Transfer RNA (tRNA) molecules are approximately 80 nucleotides in length. Their secondary structure includes four short double-helical elements and three loops (D, anti-codon, and T loops). Lineage: Eukaryota; Metazoa; Chordata; Mammalia; Artiodactyla; Camelidae. The record is from Rfam by way of RNAcentral.
GAGGGUGUAGCUCAGUGGUGGAGCACGUGCUUAGCACGCACGAGGUCUUGGGUUCCAUCUCCAGUAUCACCA